This is a non-coding RNA of Danionella cerebrum, 69 nucleotides long. The record is from the annotation of a GenBank genome assembly. NCBI's taxonomy places the organism in Eukaryota, Metazoa, Chordata, Actinopteri, Cypriniformes, Danionidae.
UUUCUUGUGACUCAGUUGGUAGAUGAUUGUGCUAACAACGCAUGGUUGUAUGUUCAAAUCCCAGGGAAA